This 273-nucleotide unclassified non-coding RNA is filed under the name Bulbithecium spinosum. Its description in RNAcentral is "Lasionectriopsis spinosa sequence contains 5.8S rRNA gene". The stretch from base 1 to 53 matches the Rfam family "5.8S ribosomal RNA", at positions 102 to 154 of the family's 154-position model. Lineage: Eukaryota; Fungi; Ascomycota; Sordariomycetes; Hypocreales; Bionectriaceae. The record is from RNAcentral.
GAACGCACAUUGCGCCCGCCAGUAUUCUGGCGGGCAUGCCUGUCUGAGCGUCAGUUCAACCCUCACAACCGGCUUUCUUUGCUGGAUGUGGUGUUGGGGAUCGGCUGCCUUUCUUCUAGGUGGCCGGCCCCGAAAUAGAGUGGCGGUCUCGUCGUGGCCUCCUCUGCGUAGUAGCAAUAUCUCGCAGGCGGAGAGCGGCGUGGCUAUGCCGUAAAACACCCAACUCUUCUAAGGUUGACCUCAGAUCAGGUAGGAAUACCCGCUGAACUUAAG